Molecule: ribosomal RNA, 461 nt
Filed under: Pedobacter sp.
Lineage: Bacteria; Pseudomonadati; Bacteroidota; Sphingobacteriia; Sphingobacteriales; Sphingobacteriaceae
Description: bacterial SSU rRNA
Rfam family: Bacterial small subunit ribosomal RNA
Source: RNAcentral
GCUCAGGAUGAACGCUAGCGGCAGGCCUAAUACAUGCAAGUCGAACGAUAGUUGGGGUUUACUCCAACGAAAAGUGGCGCACGGGUGCGUAACGCGUAUGCAACCUACCUUAUUCAGGGGGAUAGCCCGAAGAAAUUCGGAUUAACACCGCAUAAAAUCACAGCUCAGCAUUGAGUAAUGAUCAAAUAUUUAUAGGAAUAAGAUGGGCAUGCGUGUCAUUAGCUAGUUGGCGGGGUAACGGCCCACCAAGGCGACGAUGACUAGGGGAUCUGAGAGGAUGACCCCCCACACUGGUACUGAGACACGGACCAGACUCCUACGGGAGGCAGCAGUAAGGAAUAUUGGUCAAUGGAGGCAACUCUGAACCAGCCAUGCCGCGUGCAGGAAGACAGCCCUCUGGGUCGUAAACUGCUUUUAUUCGGGAAUAAACCUUUCUACGUGUAGAGAGCUGAAUUACCGAA